Molecule: ribosomal RNA, 758 nt
Filed under: uncultured bacterium
Lineage: Bacteria
Description: bacterial SSU rRNA
Rfam family: Bacterial small subunit ribosomal RNA
Source: RNAcentral
AGAGUUUGAUCCUGGCUCAGAAUCAACGCUGGCGGCGUGCCUAACACAUGCAAGUCGAACGAGAAAGUGGAGCAAUCCAUGAGUAAAGUGGCGCACGGGUGAGUAACACGUGACUAACCUACCUUUGAGCGGGGGAUAACCUAGGGAAACCUGGGCUAAUACCGCAUAACACCUACGGGUCAAAGCGAGCAAUCGCACUUAAAGAGGGGGUCGCGGCAGAUUAGCUAGUUGGUGAGGUAAUGGCUCACCAAGGCGAUGAUCUGUAUCCGGCCUGAGAGGGCGCACGGACACACUGGAACUGAAACACGGUCCAGACUCCUACGGGAGGCAGCAGUGGGGAAUUUUGCGCAAUGGGGGAAACCCUGACGCAGCAACGCCGCGUGGAGGAUGAAAUCCCUUGGGAUGUAAACUCCUUUCGAUCGGGACGAUAAUGACGGUACCGGAAGAAGAAGCCCCGGCUAACUUCGUGCCAGCAGCCGCGGUAAUACGAGGGGGGCAAGCGUUGUUCGGAAUUAUUGGGCGUAAAGGGUGCGUAGGCGGUCUGAUAAGUCUGAUGUGAAAUCUAUGGGCUCAACCCAUAGUCUGCAUCGGAAACUGUCAGGCUUGAGGAUGGGAGAGGUGAGUGGAAUUUCCGGUGUAGCGGUGAAAUGCGUAGAUAUCGGAAGGAACACCUGUGGCGAAAGCGGCUCACUGGACCAUUUCUGACGCUGAUGCACGAAAGCUAGGGGAGCAAACAGGAUUAGAUACCCUGGUAGUCC